This 251-nucleotide ribosomal RNA is filed under the name uncultured Enterobacteriaceae bacterium. Its description in RNAcentral is "partial 16S ribosomal RNA". It matches the Rfam family "Bacterial small subunit ribosomal RNA", at positions 85 to 339 of the family's 1533-position model. The record is from RNAcentral. Lineage: Bacteria; Pseudomonadati; Pseudomonadota; Gammaproteobacteria; Enterobacterales; Enterobacteriaceae.
UUGAUGACGAGUGGCGGACGGGUGAGUAAUGUCUGGGAAACUGCCCGAUGGAGGGGGAUAACUACUGGAAACGGUAGCUAAUACCGCAUAACGUCGCAAGACCAAAGAGGGGGACCUUCGGGCCUCUUGCCAUCAGAUGUGCCCAGAUGGGAUUAGCUAGUAGGUGGGGUAACGGCUCACCAAGCCGACGAUCUCUAGCUGGUCUGAGAGGAUGACCAGCCACACUGGGACUGAGACACGGCCCAGACUCC